UACGGCAAUAUAACGUUGAAACACCGAUUCCUGUACGAUCACCGAAGUCAAGCAACGUCGAACCUGGUCACUAACUUGAUGGGUAACCUCUUAGGAAUACCACGUGCUGUA
Non-coding RNA from Acanthosepion pharaonis, 111 nucleotides. The record is from the annotation of a GenBank genome assembly. NCBI's taxonomy places the organism in Eukaryota, Metazoa, Mollusca, Cephalopoda, Sepiida, Sepiidae.